CACAUAAGCAGUAAGUGUUGUUAAUAUUUGAUCGGUGUAAACAAUGCUAUCAUUUUGUUAUUUCUCGUUAUGUAUAUUCUUUAAAAUAGCGGUUAAAUGCGAUUAAUUUAAAGGGUUUUUUCAUUUUGAAGGUAAUCAUAGGUGAUUUAUCAUUAAAAAAUACUAGCAUGAAAGUAUAGGGAAAGAUAAGGAUUAGGUACCCUUGUAUGCUAUACCGCAAAUAAAUGGGUUUUUUUUAUAGAAAAAUUUGACAUAAUACCUAGACCGGGGGAAAACAGCCGCAAGGCUUAAACUAAAAAAAAUUGGCGGGACUUUUUAAGCCGUGGAACAUGUGGUUUAAUGCGGUAAUCCUCGCUACACCUCACUAGCAUCUAAUUGGUUUUUGCUGCUGAUCAGUAGUUUUCGUAAAUUUUAUAGUAUUGCAUGGCUGCCGUCAGUUUGUUUUGUGACGAUCAGCAUUUAGUUGUAUGACAAACGCUAACCUAGACCGAUUGCGUUGUUUAGGCAAAAGACAAGUCUGUAUGGUCUUUUUAUGUUAGGCUACACACGUGUUACAUAGAAAUUAUUCCAGAUAUGGUACUUUAAGUAAUUAAGGUGUUAUAAUAUUUUUUUUACCAUAGAUUAAGGUUUGAAAUUCAGCCUUAUGAAAUAGAAAUGGCCAGUAAUCGUAGUUUAGGAUGCUACGGUGAAGUGUACUUAAGUUUGCACACACUGCCCAUCACGCUCAGAAAAUUCUUACAAUUUAAUUAUACUAAAUUGUUUUCUAUAAGUAUGGUUGUAGUUAUCCGUGUUGCGAGUUUGUCGGGGUAAUCAGAGUGAAG
Molecule: ribosomal RNA, 821 nt
Filed under: Trichopodiella faurei
Lineage: Eukaryota; Ciliophora; Phyllopharyngea; Dysteriida; Hartmannulidae
Description: partial small subunit ribosomal RNA
Rfam family: Bacterial small subunit ribosomal RNA
Source: RNAcentral